Non-coding RNA from Podarcis lilfordi (Lilford's wall lizard), 827 nucleotides. The record is from the annotation of a GenBank genome assembly. Lineage: Eukaryota; Metazoa; Chordata; Lepidosauria; Squamata; Lacertidae.
GCAGAUGACCUGGUUUUGACCCUGCAGAAGCCAGAGCCCAGUACGAAAAGAGUAUUACAACUGAUUAAUGACUUUGGUCGGGUGGCUGGAUUUAAAUUAAAUAAACAGAAAACCAAGGUUUUGGGGAAAAAUUUGACAGAUACAGAGUCAGAACGGUUUCAGAAUGAGACGGAACUUAAUGUGGUUAAAAAAGUAAAAUACCUAGGGGUAAAUAUAACAGCAAAAAAUCUAAGUCUAUUUAAGGACAACUAUGAAAAAUGCUGGACAGAAAUUAAGAGAGACUUAGAUAGUUGGUCAAAAUUGAAACUUUCUUUGUUAGGCCGAAUUGCUGCUAUUAAGAUGAAUGUAUUGCCAAGGAUGUUGUUUUUAUUUCAAACACUUCAGGUUUUGGACAAAACGGAGUGCUUUCAGAAGUGGCAGAGAGAUAUUUCUAAGUUUGUCUGGCAGGGCAAAAAGCCCAGAAUUAAGUUUAAGAUAUUAACUGAUGCAAAACAAAGAGGGGGCUUUGCCCUGCCAGACUUAAAGUUGUAUUAUGAAGCCGCAGCGUUCUGCUGGCUAAAAGAUUGGCUACUCCUUGAAGACACUGAUGUGUUGGACCUGGAAGGGUUUAAUAAUGUUUUUGGAUGGCAUGCAUAUUUAUGGUAUGACAAGGUUAAAGCAAAUAAGGCCUUUAAGAACCAUAUUGUCAGAAAAUCACUGUUUAAUGUCUGGACAAAAUAUAAAGACUUGCUGGAAAAUAAAACUCCCAGGUGGCUUUCACCACUAGAAGCUAAGGCCCGAAAAAGACCCAAUAUGGAGGCUAAAUGGCCAAAAUACUGGGAAAUACU